AUAACAUUUGGGUACCCACGGGUA
RNAcentral lists this non-coding RNA (24 nucleotides) under Arabidopsis thaliana (thale cress). Lineage: Eukaryota; Viridiplantae; Streptophyta; Magnoliopsida; Brassicales; Brassicaceae. The record is from RNAcentral.